This is a microRNA precursor of Gorilla gorilla gorilla (western lowland gorilla), 63 nucleotides long. The record is from Ensembl. Lineage: Eukaryota; Metazoa; Chordata; Mammalia; Primates; Hominidae.
UGGUGGCGGCGGUAGUUAUGGGCUUCUCUUUCUCACCAGCAGCCCCUGGGCCACCGCCUCCCU